AAUUUUGUACAAUGGGGGAAACCCUGAUCCAGCCACCUCGCGCGUAUGAUGAAGGCGUUUGUGGUUUAAAGUACUUUUUGCAGAGAAGAAAAGGUAUCUCCUAAUACGAGAUACUUCUGACGGUAUCUGCAGAAUAAGCACCGCCUAACUACGUGCCAGCAGCCGCGGUAAUACGUAGGGUGCAAGCGUUACUCGGAAUUAUUGGGCGUAAAGCGUGUGUAAGCGGGUCGGAAAGAAAGAUGUGAAAUAACAGGGCUGAACCUUGGAAGUGCAUUUUUAACUGCCGAGCUAGAGUAUGGCAGAGGGGGGUAGAAUUCCACGUGUAGCAGUGAAAUGCGUAGAUAUGUGGAGGAAUACCGAUGGCGAAGGCAGGCCCCUGGGAUAAUGCUGACGCACAGACACGAAAGCGUGGGGAGCAAACAG
This 423-nucleotide ribosomal RNA is filed under the name uncultured bacterium. Its description in RNAcentral is "partial 16S ribosomal RNA". It matches the Rfam family "Bacterial small subunit ribosomal RNA", at positions 360 to 775 of the family's 1533-position model. The record is from RNAcentral.